RNAcentral lists this ribosomal RNA (1374 nucleotides) under Triticum aestivum (bread wheat). RNAcentral's name for it is "partial small subunit ribosomal RNA". The record is from RNAcentral. Lineage: Eukaryota; Viridiplantae; Streptophyta; Magnoliopsida; Poales; Poaceae.
AUGGCAACAAUUGAGAUGGAGGACUUCUCUGGCCAGCAGCUCUGGGUUUUCAUCAUACUGAUGAUAUUGGGAGGAGAAGUGUUCACUUCUAUGGUAGGGCUGCACUUCAAAAAUGCUCGGGCCAACACUGAGGAUGCUCUCCAGACAAGAUUGGCUUUCAUAAGCAGGGACAUCGAAUCCUCUGAUGAUUUCAACAACAGCAGUCAGAAUUAUAUGGAAGGCAUCCAGUCAGAGGAAACCAUGCCGCACAAUCAGGUACAGGAAAGCAAAGGGAUGAAUCAUAAAUCUCGCAAUAUUUUGGCUCAUGUAGUAGCAGGCUAUUUCAUAGCAGCAAUAGUUUGCAGCUCUCUUGUCAUCACCAUCUUCCUUUGGAUUGAUUCCUAUGCAAGGCAUCUACUGAAGAGUAAACAUAUCAAAAUGUGGACAUUCUCAAUCUUCACAGCAGUAUCAUCAUUUGCAAACUGCGGCUUCACUCCGUUAAAUGAUAGCAUGGCAAUUUUCAAACAUAACCCGACUUUCCUUCUUCUAGUUACCCCACAGAUUCUUGUAGGCAACACUUUGUUUGCACCACUGUUGAGGUUAAGCAUAUGGACCUUGGGAAAGGUGAGCAGCAGAGAAGAGUACGCUUACAUCCUUCAGCACCCAAAGGAGAUUGGAUACAGGCAUUUGCAACCUUAUAAGAAUUCUGUCAAAUUGGUUCUGACUGGAGUGAUGCUAAUUUUGCUGCAAGCGAUGCUUAUUUGCUAUUUCGAAUGGGAUUCGAAGUCCUUGGAGGGAAUGGGAUGGUUCCAGAAAUUGAUAGGCUCGCUGUUCCAGAGUGCCGAUUCAAGACACGCUGGUGAAACUGUCAUUAACAUCUCGACCCUUUCUCCACCGAUUAUGGUGAUAUUUGCACUUGCCAUGUACCUUCCUUCUGGUACUUCAAUCCUCGCUACAUAUGGUGAUAUCCGAAGUUUAGCAGAUAAAAAGGAAAAUCCGAAUGGCAGAGCAACGUGGAAGAAGUUUGCCAUGACCAAGCGUACUUGUUUAGUAAUAUUCACAGUUUUGGCAUGUAUAACUGAGAGGAAGUCAAUGACUGCCGAUCCACUCAAUUUCAGCAUCUUCAGCGUGGUAUUCGAAGUGAUCAGCGCGUACGGCAAUGUAGGAUACUCGCUCGGCUACAUCUGCGACAAGUUACUGAAGCCUGAUUCCGCGUGCAGAGACGCCUCGUACGGGUUCGUCGGCAGGUGGAGCGACAAAGGGAGACUGAUCGUCAUCCUGGUGAUGUUCCUCGGGAGGUUCAAGGCGUACACCCUCAAAGGGAAGAAAACCCUGAAUGUGCAUCCAUGUAGAAGUGGAACACCACAUCAGAGGCCAGAGGUGGCUGGAAAUUAG